RNAcentral lists this long non-coding RNA (237 nucleotides) under Capsicum annuum. Its description in RNAcentral is "long non-coding RNA (CANN_LNC004978)". The record is from RNAcentral. Lineage: Eukaryota; Viridiplantae; Streptophyta; Magnoliopsida; Solanales; Solanaceae.
CUUCUUUUGUUAAAAUCCAUUACAACAGUUAGAGGUUUCUUAACAUAAUUAGAUACUCCUUGGGGUGGUUGAUUACUCUUGAACUGGUUAUAAUUAGGCGUAUUAUUUUUAGCACCUUAGCCUUAGCAACAACAUAAGACUCAUGCAACCUAGCAAGAUGAUAGAUAGACUUGGGGCAAGGUGAGGGGUCUACCAAUUCUAAUAUCAUUAAAAAGAUGCUAAUAACAUAAUUAGUUG